RNAcentral lists this long non-coding RNA (419 nucleotides) under Homo sapiens (human). RNAcentral describes it as "HSALNT0295210". Lineage: Eukaryota; Metazoa; Chordata; Mammalia; Primates; Hominidae. The record is from RNAcentral.
GCUGAGCACAACGCAGCUCCGCCCUCGCAAAGGCACAGCGCGGGCGCAGGCGCCCAGAGGCGCACAGGAGACCUCAGGCCCAGACUCCACUCCCCAGCUGUGAAAGGACUGCUGGCCAGACCCCCAAGCUAGCCCGCCAGGCCUCCAUAGAGCUGCCCAGCAUGGCUGCAUCCAGUACCAAGAGUUGGUGGGAGACGGGUGAGGUAUAGGCUCAGUCUGCGGCCAAGACUCCGUCCUGCAAGGAUAUUGUGGCUGGAGACAUGAGCAAGAAAAGCCUCUGGGAGCAGAAGGGAGGCUCCAAGACCUCAUCAACAAUUAAGCUGCAAACCACCCAAGGUGAAGUCAUCUUAGCCUCUUGGAGUCAGCCUGACUGGGGUGAACCCAUUGAUAUGUAUUGCAUAAAUGAACAUAUCAUGACA